Molecule: ribosomal RNA, 492 nt
Filed under: uncultured bacterium
Lineage: Bacteria
Description: partial 16S ribosomal RNA
Rfam family: Bacterial small subunit ribosomal RNA
Source: RNAcentral
AGUGAACGCUGGCGGUAGGCCUAACACAUGCAAGUCGAACGGCAGCACAGUAAGAGCUUGCUCUUACGGGUGGCGAGUGGCGGACGGGUGAGGAAUACAUCGGAAUCUACUUUUUCGUGGGGGAUAGCGUAGGGAAACUUACGCUAAUACCGCAUACGACCUACGGGUGAAAGCAGGGGAUCUUCGGACCUUGCGCGAUUGAAUGAGCCGAUGUCGGAUUAGCUAGUUGGCGGGGUAAAGGCCCGCCAAGGCGACGAUCCGUAGCUGGUCUGAGAGGAUGAUCAGCCACACUGGAACUGAGACACGGUCCAGACUCCUACGGGAGGCAGCAGUGGGGAAUAUUGGACAAUGGGCGCAAGCCUGAUCCAGCCAUACCGCGUGGGUGAAGAAGGCCUUCGGGUUGUAAAGCCCUUUUGUUGGGAAAGAAAAGCAGCAGGUUAAUACCCCGCUGUUCUGACGGUACCCAAAGAAUAAGCACCGGCUAACUUCGUG